GUGUCAGCAGCCGCGGUAAUACGGAGGAGGCAAGCGUUAUCCGGAAUUAUUGGGCGUAAAGCGUCCGUAGGUGGUUAAUCAAGUCAGCUGUUAAAGAGCGGAGCUUAACUCCGUAGAGGCGGUUGAAACUGGUUGACUAGAGUUUGGUAGGGGUCGAGGGAAUUCCCAGUGUAGCGGUGAAAUGCGUAGAUAUUGGGAAGAACACCGGUGGCGAAAGCGCUCGGCUGGGCCAAAACUGACACUGAGGGACGAAAGCUAGGGGAGCGAAAGGGAUUAGAAACCCUAGUAGUCC
This 292-nucleotide ribosomal RNA is filed under the name uncultured bacterium. RNAcentral describes it as "partial 16S ribosomal RNA". It matches the Rfam family "Bacterial small subunit ribosomal RNA", at positions 505 to 796 of the family's 1533-position model. The record is from RNAcentral.